UACGUAGGGACCGAGCGUUGUCCGGAUUCAUUGGGCGUAAAGAGCUCGUAGGCGGCCACUCAAGUCGAAUGUGAAACCUCGAGGCUUAACCUCGAGCCUGCAUUCGAUACUGGGCGGCUAGAGUCUGGUAGGGGGAUCUGGAAUUCUCGGUGUAGCGGUGAAAUGCGUAGAUAUCGAGAGGAACACCUGCGGCGAGGGCGGGUUGCUGGGCCGACACUGACGCUGAUGCGCGAAAGCCAGGGGAGCGAACGGG
This 253-nucleotide ribosomal RNA is filed under the name uncultured bacterium. Its description in RNAcentral is "partial 16S ribosomal RNA". It matches the Rfam family "Bacterial small subunit ribosomal RNA", at positions 524 to 776 of the family's 1533-position model. The record is from RNAcentral.